RNAcentral lists this ribosomal RNA (253 nucleotides) under uncultured bacterium. RNAcentral describes it as "partial 16S ribosomal RNA". It matches the Rfam family "Bacterial small subunit ribosomal RNA", at positions 524 to 776 of the family's 1533-position model. The record is from RNAcentral.
UACAGAGGUCUCGAGCGUUAGGCGGAAUCACUGGGCUUAAAGCGUGUGUAGGCGGAUUGGUAAGUACCUUGUGAAAUCCCACGGCUUAACCGUGGAACUGCUGGGUAUACUGCUUGUCUUGAGCCACUUAGGGGCAACUGGAACAAACGGUGGAGCGGUGAAAUGCGUAGAUAUCGUUUGGAACGCCAAUGGUGAAAACAGGUUGCUGGGAGUGUGCUGACGCUGAGACACGAAAGCCAGGGGAGCAAACGGG